CGUACUCCUGGAACGUUGAGCUAGAAAAAGACGCCGCGCAGAGAGUCUUGUGUUGGGAAAUUUUAUCGUCGCGGGCGUUUGUAACGCGAUAAGAGACGACUGUGCGUAAUCAGUAGUUGUGAAAUGCGAGGUGCUCGUAUCGAGUUCACGUGAACGCAGCAAAAACAGCGUUGUUUUAUUGCCGUCGUCGUCGUCUUCUUUAGUUAUUAUUUCGUUGGCUGGAAAAAAAAUUGCAAAAGAAGAAAAAUAGCUAGGUUGUCGAUUCUAUCUGCGUUUUGCGUUGGUGUGCUGUUUUAAUUACCAGUGUUUCGCUUCGAUUCUGCUAACUUGUCUUUUUUCAAUCGUAUAUUAAAUGUAAAAACGUGCUGUGCAGUGUUGGUGUGUGCGUAUGAAUUCGCGAUAUAAAUCGUCGCCGGAUAUGAUGGCGGUAUAGUGCUAGGUUCGCGGUUUUGAUUAUUUUUUUGCCAACAUUUUGUAUCGAUAGACGAGCUCUCAAUAAGAGGUAUUCGCAGCAUGUCGAAUCGAAGUCGAGCUUAAGAGUCAAAGCAACCACCACAGUUUCCUUCCAGCUUGUAACUGCUACAAGAAAAAUACGAGACUGGCUUCAGUACCAGGCCAGUUACCCCUUCGCGGGGUAUAAUCACUGCGGAGCUAAAUGAAAGAUGGCGUGGGGCUACUGGAGCGCGGCCACGGUCUCAGACCGAGCCAGAUCGCCUCGUCGGAACACCUCUACCUCGUUCGCCAACGUAUCGCAUUUCGCCUCAUCUCUUCCCUCAACGUCGAUCAUUCCGCCUCCACCGGCCGCUCCUUCCGUCUACCAUCGUCCUCAACACGUUUACGGCCACCUUGGCGUAUCUCAACAUCAAACUCCUCUACCGCCUCCGCCUCCACCAGCUCAACAUCAUCAGUCCGGUUGCUGCAAUAAUCACAACAGUUCGAAUGUCGGCAGCGGUAGCGAUGACGAUUACCCUCCACCUGUCAGUACCUUAUCGCGUCGUCCAUCUUUCGCCGAUAUCGAAUUCACCGGCCCUGUACCAGCUGGAAGACCUUUGACCCUGCUGCUGGAGGCAGCCAACAAUAGCCGACCUCCCAGCGCCAUGAACACGUACCCUAGAUCGUAUCAUCAUCACCAUCACCAUCAUCAUGCCGGACAUGGAGGUCAUGGCGCCGGUAGCAUGACCGCUGCCACUUCUACCAACACACUGUAUCGUGGUAGUAUCAGAAGAGGCGAUGUUAGAGAGGUCAGAGACUGCUUCAUUCAUCAGCCCAUCGUUCAUCAUCCGCACUGCUAUGUGCAUAAGAGUUACGCGGCCGCGGCUGCUGCUGCUGCGGCGGCUGCUGGAGGAGGUGGUGUUUCCGACGACGACGAUGAUGACGAACCGGAUCCGGCUUACGCUACAGUGUUCCCGAAUGAGCCACCUGCACCUGGUAUGCCCUGUCAAGGAGAAGACAGAAGCAUUUACAGAAGAGGUGCACGAAGAUGGCGAAAAUUAUAUAGGGUAAAUGGGCAUAUAUUCCAAGCGAAACGUUUCAAUCGACGAGCGUUUUGCGCAUACUGUCACGACCGCAUAUGGGGUCUGGGCCGGCAGGGUUUCAAAUGCAUUCAGUGUAAAUUACUUAUCCAUAAGAAAUGCCACAAACUGAUACAAAAGCCUUGCACCAGCGAAUGCGUCGAACCAUUCCAAAGAGAUGAUACGAACGGAGAACCAUCGGCAGCCACCACCCCUUCGCCGGACUUACCAACGGAAGGAAAAGAUUUCGGCGAGCCGAUAUUAGACGCUUCGGUUGAUUCGGUACCUAUCGAGGAUCCGGGCGACGAAAACCUCGAACCAGGAGCUCAACGUCAGUACUCGUUGGACGAUUUCGAAUUAAUCAAAGUCAUCGGACGAGGCAGCUACGCGAAAGUUUUAAUGGUCGAAUUAAGAAGAACACAUCGGAUUUACGCGAUGAAAGUGAUAAAAAAAGCAUUAGUGACCGACGACGAGGAUAUCGAUUGGGUGCAAACGGAAAAACACGUUUUUGAAACGGCCUCGAAUCAUCCAUUCCUUGUGGGACUGCAUUCGUGUUUCCAGACACCGAGUCGACUGUUUUUUGUGAUAGAAUUCGUUCGAGGUGGUGACCUUAUGUUUCAUAUGCAACGUCAGAAAAGACUACCCGAAGGACACGCUAGAUUUUAUGCCGCUGAAAUCAGCUUGGCUCUGCAUUUCCUUCACGAUAAAGGAAUAAUUUACCGUGAUUUGAAACUCGAUAACGUGCUGCUAGACCACGAAGGGCAUAUUAAAUUAACCGAUUACGGUAUGUGCAAAGAGGGUAUAAGACAAGGAGAUACCACGUCUACGUUCUGCGGUACGCCCAAUUAUAUCGCGCCGGAAAUUCUACGAGGAGAAGAAUACGGAUUUAGUGUCGAUUGGUGGGCGUUGGGUGUACUAUUGUAUGAAAUGUUAGCUGGCCGAAGUCCGUUUGAUAUUGGAAAUGCUUCCGAAAAUCCUGAUCAAAAUACCGAAGAUUACUUAUUCCAAAUAAUACUCGAUAGACCAAUAAGAAUUCCGAGAUCAUUAUCGGUUAAAGCGUCAACUGUGUUGAAAGGAUUCUUAAACAAGAACCCAGAAGAACGAUUGGGAUGUAAUGCUGAACUAGGUUUCCGUGAAAUCUACGAUCAUCUGUUCUUCAAACUCAUCGAUUGGGAAUUGUUACAAAGUAAACAAGUUCCACCACCUUAUAGACCCAGACUCGAAUGUGAUAGAGAUUUAGCCAAUUUCCCACCUGAGUUCACCGACGAACCUGUUCAACUCACGCCUGAUGAUGAAAAAUGUACAAUGGGAAAAUUGGGCUGCCGUUUGCGAAACUUUGUUAAUGCAUUAUUUAGCCGGUGACGACGACGACGCCGACAGAAGCAGCGCGCGAGUUAAACGUCAAGCCGAGUUGAAAAUUGAAUUUAAAAUUCUCACGAUGAGCAGAAAACAGCGAAAGCCGUUUUUGCAAAUUGGAUUCGAGAUGUCGCGUCUCGUCGAGGAAUGAGCUCGAUUAUUGCCAUUUUUUUGCCCGAUCUUCGACUAUGAACCUUCUUUCAUAGUCCGGUGAAUCAAUGGAGAUCACUGGAAUUUGGUGAUGGGAGAGUUAAAUCAGUGCCUAAGAUUUGGGCUAUGAUUCGAAUUUUUGCCUAUUGGAGCUCGGUGAUCGAUAAAAUAGAUCAAUCGGAAUUCGAAGGCUUCGAGUAUGUGAAUCCUCUUCUAAUGUCGUUAGAAGAUUGUGUCUGACAAGAAGAAUGGGAUUGUCGUCACAUGGAUGAUGAUGAGAUGCUGUACGACGUGUCACCUCCCGAACAGAUCGAAAGACCUGCAUCCAGAGGAUGGUUUUGUCUGCCGUUGCGUUAAUAUUUUAUUAUUAUUUUAUUUAUUUUUUUCUCUCUCUUCAUUUACACCCCAUUUUUGCAAAUAUUUUAGUGUCCUUUUUUCGUCUCUUUUUAUUUUUUAAUUUUUAACGCAUUCCUUUUAUUCUUUAUUUUUGUAAUUUUUUCCCCCUCUCCUUUGUAGUAUUUCAUUAAGUUGGCGUUUUAUUUAUUUUAUCAAAUUUUUUUCCCAGAGUUUUUUUUUUUUAAAGCCAUAACUAGAAAGAAUUUUUGUAUCAUGUAGCGAGUUUCGGUUAUUAUGAUGUGUUUUUAAUCAUCGAGACGUGAGAGAAAAUUAAUCAGUAUCCGUCCAGAUCGGCCGCUUUGUAUGUUUUUUUCAUUCUUAUUUAUAUAUUUCAUUUUUUUCGCCUUUUUUUCAUUUUUCUUCGCUCUAGAUGGGUUUUAUUUUAUUUAUUUUUUUGUUUUCAUGCGCGUGGCGAUUUUAUUCUCUCUUAAAAACAGCGUUUUUCUCGACGACUUUCCCGUUUGAAUUUUCGCGACAAUGUAUUAAAAUACCUACCUAUUCAUUUUACCUAUCUUACUAUACGAUUACGCAAUGAAUAUCCCGUCUGAUUGAUAUUGCUCGUUAUUUAUCGUGUAAUUUAUUCAAUAUUUCGUUUUAAUAAUUUUUUCCCCCUCAACCAUUAGUACAAAUUAUUUUGAGUAAAAUCAUGGAAAUAUUUGUGUAAAAGUGUGAGUAAUUAGAUUGGCGUAAAUAUUCAUGCAGCUUUGUAGCUUAUUUACCUACUUUAUAAACCUAUCUACCGAAUAUUUUUUUUCCAUCGUUGAGUCGAAGAAUGUUGAGAAAUACGUUCGAUCCUUCGAAUUAAUAGAUUUCGAUCCAAGUUCGACUAAAUCGGUAGUACCAUUUGUAAAAAAAAAUUAUUUAUCCAUUAUAAAAGCACCGUAUUUAUACAUAGAUAAUUGUAUUAUCGUCGUUGAAUUUGUUUUCGAUGUUUUCUCUCUUUCUUUUUUUUUUGUGUUUUUCUCUUUAUUUAAUCAGUGUUUACGAAAAGGAUAAUGUAUAAAUAAGUACCUAGGAAAUUUUGUUAACCUGUUUGAAAUGUUGAGUGUGUGUAUCUGUUAUCAUGUUGAGCAUGUUCUCCCUAAAAAAAUUCUAUUACCAUCCCCUACCUAAACCAGUUUUAUUUUCGUAGUGAUAAUGUUUUGUUGUGAAUUUUUUUGUCUUUUAAAAUGAGUGUAGAUGCGCUGAGAUGCCAUGGUUUAUUCUUGUUGCCAUUUCGUAUUUUUAAUUUUAAAAUCUGCGUGUUGUAAAUGUGUUUUAAGUUCUUUUUUUUUUUUUUGUUUUCUCUAUGUGAUAACAGACCAGUAUGAAAAAAUUAUUUUUGACCUGUUGAUUAGGGUUUGGCGAAGAAGAGUUUUUCGAAUUACAAGAACAGUAUUAUUUUUAACGAACGUUAGUGUUGUAAUAUUGUAAUAUUUAAUAGAUACAAGUAUUUUACCCGGUAAGAUAACACAAAAUAUUAUAUUACUCCUCGUUUUUAAGAUGCCAGUGCAUCGAUGCGAUGAUUUUCUCUGUGGUGAUUUAAAAAAUACAAUUCAUGUUCCGUUUCCGUUACUUAA
Planococcus citri (citrus mealybug) is the source of this 4972-nucleotide RNA transcript. It is a transcript of the gene named protein kinase C iota type, with no coding region annotated. The transcript is spliced from 15 exons. The record is from RefSeq and is a predicted model, not a curated record. NCBI's taxonomy places the organism in Eukaryota, Metazoa, Arthropoda, Insecta, Hemiptera, Pseudococcidae.